ACUUCAACUUUCUCCCACACACUCCGCAGUGAGUUGUGGUACUCCGGAUAGUGAGAACGGCCUUCAUCUCGUCGAGACCUUUCAGCCCAUGCCUCAGCUGACCCCGAGAAUGCUCAGAUGGCAGUACAAAGCCCUGAAACCUCUUUAAUUGCAUGUAUUAUUGUGAUCGUGGUUAGUGGUAUGGGCUUUUAUGCAAUUUGUCACGUUAGAGCUAUUGUGGGUAGUGUGUAUAUGUGUGGUAGGUGACCUCUGGACUAAUCGUCCAAGGUCCGAAGCCCUUUGCGGAGACUGAAAAUCGAUUUCGGUGCGCUUUUCAACGAAAUUCGCCGGCAGAACGCGCUUUUGGUUUGGACUCCAUCCGACGCUGUUGGAAUGCCUUAGGUUUUGCCAUUAAGCCUUGUUGGCUGGCUACCUACGUCGUAUCGAGGGUUUGGAGAUGACGGGUUAGCGAUGAAGGGUUCCGAUGUCGAAAUUGACACUUUCGGGAACCCGUAUCGGAGCGAUUAUCCGACGAUAAUCGUUUCAACGUGUGACCUCGAUAUUUGCUGCCAAGACAUCCAAAAUGAUGUGUUUUGAGGCAACGGGUGACUCAUGACACGAGUCGGUGAGUUUCAGAACACUUCGUGGGUUCCAGCGGCGUUCCGGUGCGAUUUUCUGGACUUCCGGCGAGUUACGGAGAUCAAUUUUUGAGAAACCGAUUCUGUGAAAAAUUUUAGGGAUUGUGAGUAUUGUGUUUUGAGUCGUUUGGGUCGGACUCUGACUUUGUGGACCCUUUGUAGGUCCAGUUGACUAUCCUACGCAUCGUAGGGGCAGACGCGACAGUGAUACAUGUGGGUACUUCAAUCCGAAGUCGAUAUAGUGGUGCAUGCUUGGUGAUGUUCCCUCCACCCUAUCUCUCUAUGUUCCUUGCUUUACUUUGAUUGUUAAGCCUAGCACCAUAUGACUUUAUUACAUGUUGCUCUACUCAGUUGCUUUUAUAUUCGGUUAUCAUGAUCUAGGAGUAUAGUGGUUAUUGAUAAUACCUGUGCGUGAUGUAACACCAGUUGUGACCUAGUUGGUCGGUUUUGAGAUUCUGGUUAUUUGAUGACCUAUUCGGUCGACAUACCUUGAGGGAUUUGAUUGUUAGCUACUUGCCGACGGCUAUUAAUCAUAUCUGCAUCGAUCUUCAUUUCUCGAAUGCAUUUCAUGUACACCAGUGGUUUAGCCACCGCAACGGUAUUAUUUUUUGAAAAAGUGGUUGGAAGUACCAACCCAUAAGCCCAGAAACUUAUGCUAGGGUUAUAUACCAUUUAGAACGGCAUGGCACUUACCUGAGAUCUUUAAACCGACACGGCAGAUCUGGAUUUAGUACUUUGGGACUAUUGUCCGGUUGAUACAUUUUACUUACAGUAGCGGUAGUUGUACAUAUAUCUUACUUCAUCUUUUACUUUGUUACUGUAUUACCCUUCAUAGCU
This 1454-nucleotide long non-coding RNA is filed under the name Ananas comosus (pineapple). RNAcentral describes it as "long non-coding RNA (ACOM_LNC010489)". The record is from RNAcentral. Lineage: Eukaryota; Viridiplantae; Streptophyta; Magnoliopsida; Poales; Bromeliaceae.